UUAUCCAUGUACUUUUAAUAAACUGCAAGAAAAUUAGAUUCAUGGAAUACUGUUAAAUGACUGGGAAGUAACCAGGAAAGACACAACAAACAUUGUUAAUUCUAAGUUUCAAAGGAGGAUUAAUGAAGAGCAGUGCUCUCUUGCUUGGUCUACCCCACAACCAAAGUCAAAGGGCGGAUGGUAGAGAUUAUCAGACUCGUACAACCUCAAGGCACAGAGCCUACCACCUUUAUCUGACCCUGUACCUGCCAGCCCUAAAGCCAUAUUCCUUUUUCUGAGUGGUUAAGUGGAACACUGAGAUCCAGAGUCCAACUUGUGAUCCUGGCAUCCCCCCACACCCCAACAAACAGUGGAUCAUGGGAGUGGCCAGG
This 371-nucleotide long non-coding RNA is filed under the name Bos taurus (domestic cattle). Its description in RNAcentral is "long non-coding RNA NONBTAT017759". The record is from RNAcentral. Lineage: Eukaryota; Metazoa; Chordata; Mammalia; Artiodactyla; Bovidae.